GUCCGAAGCUAAGCCAACCUAAUUUGAAACUGAACCAAUCCAGUGAUCAAUCAAGUCGAUCUAGUUUGGAGCUUAGCUGACUCAGUGAAGAGGAGAACAAACCCAACCUCAAAGGAAGAUGAAUAUAGAAAGUCAUAAGAAUCAAUAAAUUGUUUGAGCCAAGCCAGAAAAUCUUCUGAACCAAGCCAAAGAAUCAAUCAAGCUAGAGAAUCUUUUAAAUUGACCUACAAAAUUAGUGAGCCGAAUCAGAGAAUCU
Molecule: long non-coding RNA, 256 nt
Filed under: Elaeis guineensis (African oil palm)
Lineage: Eukaryota; Viridiplantae; Streptophyta; Magnoliopsida; Arecales; Arecaceae
Description: long non-coding RNA (EGUI_LNC063701)
Source: RNAcentral